CCUACGGGUGGCAGCAGUGGGGAAUAUUGCACAGUGGGCGCAAGCCUGAUGCAGCCAUGCCGCGUGUGUGAAGAAGGCCUUCGGGUUGUAAAGCACUUUCAGCGGGGAGGAAGGCGGUGAGGUUAAUAACCUCAUCGAUUGACGUUACCCGCAGAAGAAGCACCGGCUAACUCCGUGCCAGCAGCCGCGGUAAUACGGAGGGUGCAAGCGUUAAUCGGAAUUACUGGGCGUAAAGCGCACGCAGGCGGUCUGUCAAGUCGGAUGUGAAAUCCCCGGGCUCAACCUGGGAACUGCAUUCGAAACUGGCAGGCUAGAGUCUUGUAGAGGGGGGUAGAAUUCCAGGUGUAGCGGUGAAAUGCGUAGAGAUCUGGAGGAAUACCGGUGGCGAAGGCGGCCCCCUGGACAAAGACUGACGCUCAGGUGCGAAAGCGUGGGGAGCAAACAGGAUUAGAUACCCCUGUAGUC
This 465-nucleotide ribosomal RNA is filed under the name uncultured Klebsiella sp. RNAcentral describes it as "bacterial SSU rRNA". It matches the Rfam family "Bacterial small subunit ribosomal RNA", at positions 338 to 795 of the family's 1533-position model. The record is from RNAcentral. Lineage: Bacteria; Pseudomonadati; Pseudomonadota; Gammaproteobacteria; Enterobacterales; Enterobacteriaceae.